Molecule: ribosomal RNA, 253 nt
Filed under: uncultured bacterium
Lineage: Bacteria
Description: partial 16S ribosomal RNA
Rfam family: Bacterial small subunit ribosomal RNA
Source: RNAcentral
UACGAAGGGGGCUAGCGUUGCUCGGAAUUACUGGGCGUAAAGCGCACGUAGGCGGCUUCUUAAGUCGGUGGUGAAAUCCUGGAGCUCAACUCCAGAACUGCCUUCGAUACUGAGAAGCUCGAGUCCGGGAGAGGUGAGUGGAACUGCGAGUGUAGAGGUGAAAUUCGUAGAUAUUCGCAAGAACACCAGUGGCGAAGGCGGCUCACUGGCCCGAUACUGACGCUGAUGCACGAAAGCGUGGGGAGCAAACAGG